RNAcentral lists this ribosomal RNA (476 nucleotides) under uncultured bacterium. RNAcentral describes it as "partial 16S ribosomal RNA". It matches the Rfam family "Bacterial small subunit ribosomal RNA", at positions 28 to 523 of the family's 1533-position model. The record is from RNAcentral.
AAUGAACGUUGGCGGCGUGGAUUAGGCAUGCAAGUCGUACGGGCCGCAAGGCCAGUGGCGCAAGGGUGAGUAAUGCGACGGUAACCAACCCCAUGGGUGGGUAUAGCCGCGGGAAACUGCGGGUAAUCCCCCGCGAAGCAAAGCGGACGGCAUCGAGCGUCUGCCAAAGCUCCGGCGCCGUGGGCCGGGCCGUCGUGGGAUUGGGUAGUUGGGGGGGUACCGGCCCACCAAGCCGCCGACGCCUACCGGGCAUGCGAGCAUGGCCCGGCACACUGGAACUGAGACACUGCUCAGACUCCUACGGGAGGCUGCAGUCGAGAAUCUUCGGCAAUGGGCGCAAGCCUGACCGAGCGACGCCGCGUGGAGGACGAAGGCCUUCGGGUUGUAAACUCCUGUCGAGGGGAAAGAAGGUCCGCAAGGACUUGACUGAUCCCUGGAGGAAGCACGGGCUAAGUUCGUGCCAGCAGCCGCGGUAA